AGUGAACGCUGGCGGCAGGCCUAACACAUGCAAGUCGAACGGCAGCACAGUAAGAGUUUGCUCUUACGGGUGGCGAGUGGCGGACGGGUGAGGAAUACAUCGGAAUCUACUUUUUCGUGGGGGAUAACGUAGGGAAACUUACGCUAAUACCGCAUACGACCUACGGGUGAGAGCAGGGGAUAUUCGGACCUUGCGCGAUUGAAUGAGCCGAUGUCGGAUUAGCUAGUUGGCGGGGUAAAGGCCCACCAAGGCGACGAUCCGUAGCUGGUCUGAGAGGAUGAUCAGCCACACUGGAACUGAGACACGGUCCAGACUCCUACGGGAGGCAGCAGUGUGGAAUAUUGGACAAUGGGCGCAAGCCUGAUCCAGCCAUACCGCGUGGGUGAAGAAGGCCUUCGGGUUGUAAAGCCCUUUUGUUGGGAAAGAAAAGCAGCAGGUUAAUACCCCGCUGUUCUGACGGUACCCAAAGAAGAAGCACCGGCUAACUUCGUG
Molecule: ribosomal RNA, 492 nt
Filed under: uncultured bacterium
Lineage: Bacteria
Description: partial 16S ribosomal RNA
Rfam family: Bacterial small subunit ribosomal RNA
Source: RNAcentral